UCAGGAGGGGUAACCCUUCUGGGGGGAGAGCGGCGAACGGGUGAGUAACACGUGGGCAACCUGCCCCGGACACCGGGAUAACCCAGGGAAACCUGAGCUAAUACCGGAUACUCCGGCGUGAUCGCAUGGUCGCGCUGGGAAAGCUCCGACGGUCCGGGAUGGGCCCGCGGCCUAUCAGCUUGUUGGUGGGGUAACGGCCCACCAAGGCGACGACGGGUAGCUGGUCUGAGAGGACGGCCAGCCACACUGGGACUGAGACACGGCCCAGACUCCUACGGGAGGCAGCAGUGGGGGAUCUUGCGCUAAUGCGCGAAAGUCUGACGGAGCAACGCCGCGUGUAUGAUGAAGGUCUUCGGA
RNAcentral lists this ribosomal RNA (357 nucleotides) under uncultured bacterium. RNAcentral describes it as "bacterial SSU rRNA". It matches the Rfam family "Bacterial small subunit ribosomal RNA", at positions 69 to 422 of the family's 1533-position model. The record is from RNAcentral.